AUUUCUACAUUUCCUGUUAGAAGUAAAAUUUUAUGAUAAUAAACUGAUUUUUUUUUCCAGACUAUCGGUGUUUCUCUGCCAUCAAAUGACGCUGAAAAAGACAAUAAACUGGAAUCAAAAUAGAUACAAAAAGAGAAAAUACUCUUGGCGUGCGGUGAAUAGCCAGCACCCGCUCUCGGGUUCUUAAACUUUCUCUACUCUCUCCACGAGCUAACCAGACGUAGGUUUAACCUAUACCACAGCUAUCCAGGCGUAGGAAAAAGAACAACGCCUUCGAAAUCCGCAUCAAUCUUCACUUAAGAUGAAUGGCUGGGAGCUGGAUAGAGCAUCAGAAGCUUGUUCCCAGUUUUCCACACCAUUUAUCCUCCAGUCCAUGGAAUACCUAUCCGGGACUGGAAUUCUAGAAGAGAAAUGUUAACAUCCAUCCAUCUAGCAGACAUCCAACAUUUAGCUUACCUCCACUGAUGCCCAUAACAGUGGUGGGGGGGAGAGAUGUUAAGCAGAUUUCACUUGAUGAUUGAAUUUGCUGAAACCAUGAGAAGGAACUCAGUUGAGAAAUGUGAUAGACGUCUCACAAAGGGAACUAAUCCAUUGAGGACUGAGUUGUAGAACCCAGAGAGUUGAGUUACCUCUAUAGGAUCCAUAUUCUGGAACCAGGAGCAACUGAAGCUUCAACUAUGUUGUAUUGAGACCAAUUGCCGAAUGGUCGGCAGUAGUCACCGAUAUCCCGGGAUCGGGGUAUUUGACUACUGUAAUUUGGAAAAUGAUCCUAACGCUGGAUUAUCUCCUUAGGACAUCGAUAGAGAUCCGGGAGACAUGUAUGCUUAUGGACACGCCGAACGACGGUGUGUGACGCAUCUAUUCGAAAGCCUUUGCUACGCUGCAAAGCAACAACAACAACCAAAACAACAACAAAAACAUCAACAUAAACAACUAUAUGACAACAGCAUCAAGCACAUUGGCACAAGCGCCUCCUCGGCAAUAAGAUGAUAAAGAAUUUGAGUAUUUAAAGCCAAGAAAAUAAAAGUGAGGGAGAUCCCUUAAAAGUAAAAAAGAUAAAAAUAAUGAAAAAAAAGAAUAAGAAGAAUAUCUAACACUGGAUGAAGGAGUGCGAAAAGCAACCUAUUCAGUUUUUGUACGCCGUUUGUAGUUUCCAGACGAAAUUGGAUUGUCAACGGCUCGUGAUCACGUGAUACUGGGCAACUGAAGUCUGGAACCGUUUUCACUUAUUUAUUGUUAUUUUAAGGCAAUUUAGUUUGCCGCCAUGAUGAUGAUGAUGUAAAUGAUGAUGAUGACAAAGAGGAAUAUGAUCAAGUUAUGGAUGAUGAAGAUGUCUAGUCUCUGACGUAACUAAAUAAAGCUUGAAAGUUCCAACAGAACACAAUCCGAAGCUCAACUGAACGAGUUUCAACCAGCUGAUCGAUAUUUAUGAUUACCCCGCUUGAUGAAAGUGCGAAUUUGCGACUUAUUGCAGUUUUGUGAUUUUUGUGAUUACACGGCUAGCUUAGCCGAGCUAUGUAUGAUUACUAUAAUACAGUUAGUGAUUGGAGAUCCGGUGUAAGAUAUGUGGUAAACACAACAGCUGGAAGAUUUGUGGUAUACACAACAGCUGGAAGAUUUGUGGUAUACACAACAGCUGGAAGAUUUGUGG
Molecule: long non-coding RNA, 1651 nt
Organism: Eurytemora carolleeae
Lineage: Eukaryota; Metazoa; Arthropoda; Copepoda; Calanoida; Temoridae
Exons: 16
Source: RefSeq, a predicted model, not a curated record